RNAcentral lists this ribosomal RNA (253 nucleotides) under uncultured bacterium. RNAcentral describes it as "partial 16S ribosomal RNA". It matches the Rfam family "Bacterial small subunit ribosomal RNA", at positions 524 to 776 of the family's 1533-position model. The record is from RNAcentral.
UACGUAGGGUGCGAGCGUUGUCCGGAAUUACUGGGCGUAAAGAGCUCGUAGGUGGUUUGUCGCGUUGUUCGUGAAAACUCACAACUCAAUUGUGGGCGUGCGGGCGAUACGGGCAGACUGGAGUACUGCAGGGGAGACUGGAAUUCCUGGUGUAGCGGUGAAAUGCGCAGAUAUCAGGAGGAACACCGGUGGCGAAGGCGGGUCUCUGGGCCGAUACUGACGCUGAGGAGCGAAAGCGUGGGGAGCGAACAGG